UUGUCGACAGCUUGUGAACGGGUUUGUAACAACUUGUUUGCAGUCGACCUGUAACAACUUGUGCGUUUUUAUGUACUGCAACAUGGUACUCGGCGAAAUGUUUCACUAAUUCAGGGUUUAUUUUAAGAAGAAUUUAGAACUGCAUAUAUAGGGAUGUUACGAAGGCAACGGGUGUUUGACUGGGGGGGGGGGGAGUCGAAGGACUUUUUACCUGCAUAUAGGAGGUGAUAGAAUAAUG
This is a non-coding RNA of Paramuricea clavata, 238 nucleotides long. NCBI's taxonomy places the organism in Eukaryota, Metazoa, Cnidaria, Anthozoa, Malacalcyonacea, Plexauridae. The record is from the annotation of a GenBank genome assembly.